UAGCUCAGUAGGUAGAGCACUUCCAUGGUAAGGAAGAGGUCAGCGGUUCGAAUCCGCU
This 58-nucleotide transfer RNA is filed under the name Peribacillus frigoritolerans. RNAcentral describes it as "[Brevibacterium] frigoritolerans tRNA-Thr". It matches the Rfam family "tRNA", at positions 8 to 63 of the family's 71-position model. Rfam says of the family: Transfer RNA (tRNA) molecules are approximately 80 nucleotides in length. Lineage: Bacteria; Bacillati; Bacillota; Bacilli; Caryophanales; Bacillaceae. The record is from RNAcentral.